This 492-nucleotide ribosomal RNA is filed under the name uncultured bacterium. RNAcentral describes it as "partial 16S ribosomal RNA". It matches the Rfam family "Bacterial small subunit ribosomal RNA", at positions 29 to 507 of the family's 1533-position model. The record is from RNAcentral.
AGUGAACGCUGGCGGUAGGCCUAACACAUGCAAGUCGAACGGCAGCACAGUAAGGGCUUGCUCUUACGGGUGGCGAGUGGCGGACGGGUGAGGAAUACAUCGGAAUCUACUUUUUCGUGGGGGAUAACGUAGGGAAACUUACGCUAAUACCGCAUACGACCUACGGGUGAAAGCAGGGGAUCUUCGGACCUUGCGCGAUUGAAUGAGCCGAUGUCGGAUUAGCUAGUUGGCGGGGUAAAGGCCCACCAAGGCGACGAUCCGUAGCUGGUCUGAGAGGAUGAUCAGCCACACUGGAACUGAGACACGGUCCAGACUCCUACGGGAGGCAGCAGUGGGGAAUAUUGGACAAUGGGCGCAAGCCUGAUCCAGCCAUACCGCGCGGGUGAAGAAGGCCUUCGGGUUGUAAAGCCCUUUUGUUGGGAAAGAAAAGCAGCAGGUUAAUACCCCGCUGUUCUGACGGUACCCAAAGAAUAAGCACCGGCUAACUUCGUG